UACAGAGGUCUCAACCGUUGUUCGGAUUUAUUGGGCGUAAAGGGUGCGUAGGCGGUCGGGUAAGUCGGAUGUGAAAUCCCAGGGCUCAACCCUGGAACUGCAUUCGAUACUGCCUGGCUAGGGUACUGGAGAGGAGACUGGAAUUUACGGUGUAGCAGUGAAAUGCGUAGAUAUCGUAAGGAAGACCAGUGGCGAAGGCGAGUCUCUGGACAGUUACCGACGCUGAGGCACGAAGGUCAGGGGAGCAAAC
This 250-nucleotide ribosomal RNA is filed under the name uncultured bacterium. RNAcentral describes it as "partial 16S ribosomal RNA". It matches the Rfam family "Bacterial small subunit ribosomal RNA", at positions 524 to 773 of the family's 1533-position model. The record is from RNAcentral.